RNAcentral lists this ribosomal RNA (303 nucleotides) under uncultured Pelotomaculum sp. RNAcentral's name for it is "bacterial SSU rRNA". It matches the Rfam family "Bacterial small subunit ribosomal RNA", at positions 1080 to 1382 of the family's 1533-position model. Lineage: Bacteria; Bacillati; Bacillota; Clostridia; Eubacteriales; Desulfotomaculaceae. The record is from RNAcentral.
UUAAGUCCCGCAACGAGCGUAACCCCUACGUUUAGUUGCUAACGCGUGAAGGCGAGCACUCUAGACGAACUGCCGUUGACAAAACGGAGGAAGGUGGGGAUGACGUCAAAUCAUCAUGCCCCUUAUGUUCUGGGCUACACACGUGCUACAAUGGCCGGUACAGACGGACGCAAAGCCGCGAGGUGGAGCAAAUCCUAAAAAGCCGGUCUCAGUUCGGAUUGCAGGCUGCAAUUCGCCUGCAUGAAGUCGGAAUCGCUAGUAAUCGCAGGUCAGCAUACUGCGGUGAAUACGUUCCCGGGCCUU